This 474-nucleotide ribosomal RNA is filed under the name Fusarium oxysporum. RNAcentral's name for it is "eukaryotic LSU rRNA". The stretch from base 118 to 271 matches the Rfam family "5.8S ribosomal RNA". The record is from RNAcentral. Lineage: Eukaryota; Fungi; Ascomycota; Sordariomycetes; Hypocreales; Nectriaceae.
UACCACUUGUUGCCUCGGCGGAUCAGCCCGCUCCCGGUAAAACGGGACGGCCCGCCAGAGGACCCCUAAAACUCUGUUUCUAUAUGUAACUUCUGAGUAAAACCAUAAAUAAAUCAAAACUUUCAACAACGGAUCUCUUGGUUCUGGCAUCGAUGAAGAACGCAGCAAAAUGCGAUAAGUAAUGUGAAUUGCAGAAUUCAGUGAAUCAUCGAAUCUUUGAACGCACAUUGCGCCCGCCAGUAUUCUGGCGGGCAUGCCUGUUCGAGCGUCAUUUCAACCCUCAAGCACAGCUUGGUGUUGGGACUCGCGUUAAUUCGCGUUCCUCAAAUUGAUUGGCGGUCACGUCGAGCUUCCAUAGCGUAGUAGUAAAACCCUCGUUACUGGUAAUCGUCGCGGCCACGCCGUUAAACCCCAACUUCUGAAUGUUGACCUCGGAUCAGGUAGGAAUACCCGCUGAACUUAAGCAUAUCAAAU